RNAcentral lists this ribosomal RNA (497 nucleotides) under uncultured bacterium. RNAcentral describes it as "partial 16S ribosomal RNA". It matches the Rfam family "Bacterial small subunit ribosomal RNA", at positions 28 to 507 of the family's 1533-position model. The record is from RNAcentral.
GAUGAACGCUGGCGGCGUGCCUAAUACAUGCAAGUCGAGCGAACAGACGAGGAGCUUGCUCCUCUGACGUUAGCGGCGGACGGGUGAGUAACACGUGGAUAACCUACCUAUAAGACUGGGAUAACUUCGGGAAACCGGAGCUAAUACCGGAUAACAUGUUGAACCGCAUGGUUCAACAGUGAAAGACGGUUUUGCUGUCACUUAUAGAUGGAUCCGCGCCGCAUUAGCUAGUUGGUAAGGUAACGGCUUACCAAGGCAACGAUGCGUAGCCGACCUGAGAGGGUGAUCGGCCACACUGGAACUGAGACACGGUCCAGACUCCUACGGGAGGCCGCAGUAGGGAAUCUUCCGCAAUGGGCGAAAGCCUGACGGAGCAACGCCGCGUGAGUGAAGAAGGUCUUCGGAUCUUAAAACUCUGUUAUUAGGGAAGAACAAAUGUGUAAGUAACUAUGCACGUCUUGACGGUACCUAAUCAGAAAGCCACGGCUAACUACGUG